GGGGAGGCGCGGGAUAUUGGGCUGUGUCCCUGGCUCUCAGUGCUCAUGGGCCUGUGCUACUAGAAUCGCAUUCCCAGCCACCAGCUCCCU
Molecule: microRNA precursor, 90 nt
Filed under: Canis lupus familiaris (dog)
Lineage: Eukaryota; Metazoa; Chordata; Mammalia; Carnivora; Canidae
Also listed under: 1 other name
Description: mir-8799 microRNA precursor family
Rfam family: mir-8799 microRNA precursor family
Source: Rfam by way of RNAcentral